GUAAGCACAAAGCCUUAAGGGCGCCGUUUGCCCCAAGUCAAGGUGCCCACGCUUUCUUGCUCAGGUGCACUCCAGGCACCAGGGAAUCUUAGGGCCGGGUCUGGAAGGAUGACAUCACUAGUUGACAUUUUCUCCUACUUUUUUCUGACCACUGUGCUAUAUCAGGGUUUCAAGUGCUUAGAAAAACUAAUUGUAGCACCGAUUUGCAUCUCGUUUGCUGUCUGUGAAGAACGCCAGUGUGAGGUGAGGUAAUCUAUAUAGUGUAGUAGGUAGUAUCCCAAUUUUUCGAAUGAACCUCCUGGAAUUUUAAGAGGCUAAACAUGGCUCAAGUAAUUAAGUUAUAGAGUUUAAUGGAAUUGAUAUUUUCUGACUCCACUCAGCCCACAUAGAAAGCAGAAUAUUACAUUCCUUCCUCCUCUAGUUGAUAACUGAGAUGGAGAAAUGUCAUUUUGGAAGACCUCUGUGAAAACUGAUGCGCCAUGAAGGCAUUAUAGAGGACUCUAAAGUAUGACUGAAUCUUUUACCACUCUCCUCAUGCUGUUUCCCAAAGGAGAAGGUCAAGAAGUGACUGGUUUACCAGCUUUGGAAGAGUAAUGCACCCUGCCUUGGAGCAGCUGCCUAUAGACUGAAACUUCUGCAAACUGUGAGCUAAAAUAAACUUUUCUCCUUUAACUUGUGGAUAUCAGGUAUUUUGUCCCAGCAAUGAAAAAGCAACUAAGACGCUGCCAAACUGUUUUCCAGAGUAUAUAAAACCAUUUUAUAUUCUCAUCAGCAAUGACUGAUAUAGUUUCUUCAUAUCCUCACCAGCUUUUUAUGUUUUCACUAUUUUUAAUUUUAGCCAUUCUGAUAGUUGUGUAAUAAUAGCUCAUGGCUGUUUUAAUUUGCAUUUCUCUAAUUUUUAACAUCUUUUCAUGGGAUCAGUUGCUGUCACUAUAUCCUCUUUAGUGCAGUACCUGUUCACAUAUUUGGC
This 970-nucleotide long non-coding RNA is filed under the name Heterocephalus glaber (naked mole-rat). Its description in RNAcentral is "lncRNA (ENSHGLG00100048143.1)". Lineage: Eukaryota; Metazoa; Chordata; Mammalia; Rodentia; Bathyergidae. The record is from RNAcentral.